This 514-nucleotide ribosomal RNA is filed under the name uncultured Pseudomonadota bacterium. RNAcentral's name for it is "bacterial SSU rRNA". It matches the Rfam family "Bacterial small subunit ribosomal RNA", at positions 391 to 896 of the family's 1533-position model. The record is from RNAcentral. Lineage: Bacteria; Pseudomonadati; Pseudomonadota.
GCAACGCCGCGUGAGUGAUGAAGGCUUUCGGGUCGUAAAGCUCUGUCAGAGGGGAAGAAAUGGGUCUGGCUAAUAUCCAGAUUCCUUGACGGUACCCUCAAAGGAAGCACCGGCUAACUCCGUGCCAGCAGCCGCGGUAAUACGGAGGGUGCAAGCGUUGUUCGGAUUUAUUGGGCGUAAAGCGCGUGUAGGCGGUUUCUUAAGUCUGAUGUGAAAGCCCUGGGCUCAACCCAGGAAGUGCAUUGGAUACUGGGAGACUUGAAUACGGGAGAGGGUAGUGGAAUUCCUAGUGUAGGAGUGAAAUCCGUAGAUAUUAGGAGGAACACCGGUGGCGAAGGCGGCUACCUGGACCGAUAUUGACGCUGAGACGCGAAAGCGUGGGGAGCAAACAGGAUUAGAUACCCUGGUAGUCCACGCCGUAAACGAUGAGAACUAGGUGUUGCGGGUAUUGACCCCUGCAGUGCCGCAGCUAACGCAUUAAGUUCUCCGCCUGGGAAGUACGGUCGCAAGACUA